UCUCUAGAGCGACAUGAUCGAGAAACAAUGAAUUAGGCGGAAACGUUGCAACGCAUACACGUAAUCACAUUAUGUGUAGGCAAGAACAAUCACGAAGCUGUGACUAAUCGAUGAAAAAGGUAUUGCAUGCCUCAUGGCCCCCACCACCGCUCCAGCCACACGUGUGACUCCGCUGCUGGCCACGUGCCGCAGUGAGCGGCCACUGAAAGAAACGCCUCGUGAGUGUGGGGCUCGGCUGCCACUCCUCCAGACUUCCAAAUCCACCACCGGAGCCCCAAUGGCUGCCGCCGGAGACCUCAAGUCAGAGUACCACCAGGUCCUGCUCAACCGCCGCCGCGAACACCGAGCUCGUGGCGACCCAAUCCCGGUGCCUCUGACCAUGGAGCAAGGGAGUCCGAUGAAGGACCUAUUGUACCAAGGCAACCGUCCUGUGUCUCAGAAAGAUCAGGAUCCUCCAUCGAUCUGAGCAAACACAUUCCAUCUUCCAGAUCGAAGUUAUUGUGUCGAUUCUGCUGUUUUUUUCAAGACAUGGAGUCGUACCCAAGGAAAAAGGUGGAGAACUUCGAGGAGAAGCCGGUUGAAGAAAAUUUCUACUUGUUUACUGAGGUACCUUUUGGCCCAUACAGUUCUAUGAUCAAUCGAUUGAUUCGUUGCAGGUGUUAAGUGGAUACAGUGCACAAUGCACACUACUUGCAUCUUCGCAGUUGAAAUUGAGAUCAGUGAAAACCAACUACAUUUGAGCAGCCCAAAAGGUAAUAGAGGAGCAAUAAUAGUAAUCUGUGUUUUGUUAGGUGCCUGUUUCAUGUCAAUGCUUGUCAUAUACAAAUACAGAUUGGUAUUGCAUACAUGUGCUUCAGUUAGCACAUUUGCUCUCAUGUUACCACUCAGACCCUGUGUCUUGGUCCUUGAGUGCAAAGGAAAAAGGAUACAAUCCGUCAAAUUUUAGUCCUGAAGCAAGUA
Triticum dicoccoides is the source of this 960-nucleotide long non-coding RNA. RefSeq lists it as uncharacterized. The record is from RefSeq and is a predicted model, not a curated record. The transcript has 2 exons. Lineage: Eukaryota; Viridiplantae; Streptophyta; Magnoliopsida; Poales; Poaceae.